UAUAGUUUAUUUGAUAAUUACAAAUGGAUAACUUUAGGAAAUCUAGAGCUAAUACAUGCUGCAAAGUCCGAUGCUAGUCUGAGGACCGUAUUUAUUAGAUAUUAACCUUUCGGGCCACGCCCGUUUAGAUGAAUCAUAAUAACUUCUCUGACCCCUUCUUGGGGUUAAUCAUUCAAGUUUCUGCCCAAUCAGCUUUAGAUGGUAGUGUAUUGGACUACCAUGGCGAUCACUGGUAACGGAGAAUUAGGGUUCGAUUCCGGAGAGGGAGCCUGAGAAACGGCUACCACU
Molecule: ribosomal RNA, 288 nt
Filed under: uncultured eukaryote
Lineage: Eukaryota
Description: partial 18S rRNA
Rfam family: Eukaryotic small subunit ribosomal RNA
Source: RNAcentral